RNAcentral lists this long non-coding RNA (2136 nucleotides) under Naja naja (Indian cobra). Its description in RNAcentral is "lncRNA (ENSNNAG00000016203.1)". Lineage: Eukaryota; Metazoa; Chordata; Lepidosauria; Squamata; Elapidae. The record is from RNAcentral.
CUUUCUAAUAAAAAAAUUUUUUUUUUCUUUGAAGAACUGAUUUCAUUGAGAGCCACGUCAUGGUUGUGUAUGACCUCAGGGGGAGGGGGAGGGGCAGGAUGGGCAUGGCCAGCUUGACGGCACUCGUGUCAGGGGCACCUGGUGGCCCAGGCAGGGCUGCGGGACACAACGGCCUCCUGCAGCCCUCUGCCAGGGAAAAUGGUGAGCCUUGGUGGCUGAGGCUGUUAAUUGCCUGCACUUAAGUUCCAGCUGCCUACAACUGCUGUAGGCUCGAAUCCCACCAGGCUCAAGGUGGACUCAGCCUUCCAUCCUCUUGGGGCAGGUAAAUUGAGGACCCAAGAUUGUUGGGGGCAAUAAGCUGACUUUGUAAAAAUGCCGCUUAGUAAUAAGCAGGCAUAUACAAUGGAAGGAAGGCUAUUGCUGAGCACACUGGGUUGCAUCCCAAAAAUUGUAAGCCGCCCUGAGUCUUCGGAGAAGGGUGGCAUAUAAAUGUAAUUUUUUUAAAAAAUGAAGCUCGAGGCCCCCUGUAUGCGUCUGUCCCACCCGGGACCCCAUUUUCAUUGGCAGAGCUACUGUAGACCAGUCCUACGCUGUUUCCAAGCGGCCCGUGGGCUAAAUCUAAGCACCCCGCCAACCGGAUCCAGCCCAUGAGCUUGACGCCCCUGGUCUAGAAACUUGUCAUUAAAAGGAACUAGGGAAGCAGAAAAACCACAGCUUUUAACAGCUCAGCUUGUUUGAAGCCUAAAAUUUACAAACCCGUGUUUCUAAAAGAAAACCUUGUCUUGAUGUCCUACCCAUCUAGGAUCAUUCGAACAAUGACCGCGAAGUCCCCCAAGAUUCAACCAAGCGUCGGAAAGAGGAAAACGGAACAACUGGUUCCUCCAAACAUAGUAAGAGUGAAAGUCCUUCCGACUCUCCCCCUCGUUCAAAUGAGAAGGAGAAAGAGAAGAACAAGUCAAAAUCUUCAAGCAAGGAGAAAGGUGAUUCCAUCAAAGUGGAAAAGAUGGAGAAAAGCUCUUCCGGGAGCAAAAAGGAGUCCAGGCACGAUAAGGAAAAAACAGAGAAGAAAGAAAAACGGGAUAGUACUGGGAACAAAGAAGAAAAGAAACACCAUAAAUCUUCAGACAAGCACAGAUAAUGAGCACUGUUCUGACCAAGGUGAGGUUCAGACAAGAAGAUGGUGAGCUGUGACCAGACAUAAAUUUUGAUUGCACAGAAGAUUGUGAACGAAGCGGACCUGUCUCCAUCUCCUUAACUUAUUCACCUCUCUGCUUUAUUUCUCUCCCAUUGCUGAAGAUGUUGAUGGUUGAGUUGUACAUUACUGUAAUUUUAAGUCGUCGCUUAAGUUUCUUAAAACAUUUAUUUUCAGUACUGUCUGGAAGUGUUACCUGUUCCGUAUUUUUUAGCACAAUGUGCUGCCAACAGUUGCCAUCGUGCAAAUGAGGGUUUUUCCCCACAUGUACAGAGUUCUUACUUUAGGUUAAUCAAAAAUACUUCCUCCGUUUAGCCAUAUUAUUAUUAUUAUUAUUAUUAUUAUUAUUAUUAUUAUUAUUAGUUUUUAUUUUCAAUUGGAAAUGCGUUAUUUUAGGUGUUUGAAAAAAAAAGAAGACAAACCCAACAACCAAUAAAAAGAGUUAUUGAACAUUUGGAUUUUUACCUCAUUUAAAGAAAAAUCCAGUUUUUAUUUAUUGUUUUUAAUAUUGAUAACUAAAACCAUGGGGGGAGGGGCACUUUUCAAGCAAUGCUGAGGAAAGUAUUUGUAUAUUAUGUGCACAACAGUGAAGUUGUUUAAAAAGAGAGAGAGAGAAGAAAGGAAACAGAGGAAUACCCCAUGCUCUGUUAUUCCGCAUGAUGCUCCUUAACGUUUGUCAUAAUGUUUUUAAAGAAAUGGGGAAAACUGCUUUCUUCCGAACAUGAAUUCAGACCAAUUAGGUUUCAAUAUUACAGCUACAGGAACUUUGUAUCGGUGGGACUUUUAGUCCAAAAAAAAAAUAAUAAAAAAUGAAAACAAAAAUGAAAAAAAAAAAAAAAAAAGUUUCACAAUGACCUUUUUAAAAAAAAACAAACAGACAAAACAAUUUUUUUAUCUGAAAUUCUACCAGUGUAAUCUUUUUUCUAAAUAAAAAAUAGUUUUCU